RNAcentral lists this ribosomal RNA (1202 nucleotides) under Latilactobacillus sakei. Its description in RNAcentral is "bacterial SSU rRNA". It matches the Rfam family "Bacterial small subunit ribosomal RNA", at positions 269 to 1461 of the family's 1533-position model. Lineage: Bacteria; Bacillati; Bacillota; Bacilli; Lactobacillales; Lactobacillaceae. The record is from RNAcentral.
CCAGACCGUGAUGCAUAGCCGACCUGAGAGGGUAAUUGGCCCACACUGGGACUGAGACCCGGCCCAGAUUCCUACGGGAGGCAGCAGUAGGGAAUCUUCCACAAUGGACGAAAGUCUGAUGGAGCAACGCCGCGUGAGUGAAGAAGGUUUUCGGAUCGUAAAACUCUGUUGUUGGAGAAGAAUGUAUCUGAUAGUAACUGAUCAGGUAGUGACGGUAUCCAACCAGAAAGCCACGGCUAACUACGUGCCAGCAGCCGCGGUAAUACGUAGGUGGCAAGCGUUGUCCGGAUUUAUUGGGCGUAAAGCGAGCGCAGGCGGUUUCUUAAGUCUGAUGUGAAAGCCUUCGGCUCAACCGAAGAAGUGCAUCGGAAACUGGGAAACUUGAGUGCAGAAGAGGACAGUGGAACUCCAUGUGUAGCGGUGAAAUGCGUAGAUAUAUGGAAGAACACCAGUGGCGAAGGCGGCUGUCUGGUCUGUAACUGACGCUGAGGCUCGAAAGCAUGGGUAGCAAACAGGAUUAGAUACCCUGGUAGUCCAUGCCGUAAACGAUGAGUGCUAGGUGUUGGAGGGUUUCCGCCCUUCAGUGCCGCAGCUAACGCAUUAAGCACUCCGCCUGGGGAGUACGACCGCAAGGUUGAAACUCAAAGGAAUUGACGGGGGCCCGCACAAGCGGUGGAGCAUGUGGUUUAAUUCGAAGCAACGCGAAGAACCUUACCAGGUCUUGACAUCCUUUGACCACUCUAGAGAUAGAGCUUUCCCUUCGGGGACAAAGUGACAGGUGGUGCAUGGUUGUCGUCAGCUCGUGUCGUGAGAUGUUGGGUUAAGUCCCGCAACGAGCGCAACCCUUAUUACUAGUUGCCAGCAUUAAGUUGGGCACUCUAGUGAGACUGCCGGUGACAAACCGGAGGAAGGUGGGGACGACGUCAAAUCAUCAUGCCCCUUAUGACCUGGGCUACACACGUGCUACAAUGGAUGGUACAACGAGUUGCGAGACCGCGAGGUUUAGCUAAUCUCUUAAAACCAUUCUCAGUUCGGAUUGUAGGCUGCAACUCGCCUACAUGAAGCCGGAAUCGCUAGUAAUCGCGGAUCAGCAUGCCGCGGUGAAUACGUUCCCGGGCCUUGUACACACCGCCCGUCACACCAUGAGAGUUUGUAACACCCAAAGCCGGUGAGGUAACCCUUCGGGGAGCCAGCCGUCUAAG